GACGAACGCUGGCGGCGUGCUUAACACAUGCAAGUCGAACGGAAAGGCCCUGCUUUUGUGGGGUGCUCGAGUGGCGAACGGGUGAGUAACACGUGAGUAACCUGCCCUUGACUUUGGGAUAACUUCAGGAAACUGGGGCUAAUACCGGAUAGGAGCUCCUGCUGCAUGGUGGUGGUUGGAAAGUUUCGGCGGUUGGGGAUGGACUCGCGGCUUAUCAGCUUGUUGGUGGGGUAGUGGCUUACCAAGGCUUUGACGGGUAGCCGGCCUGAGAGGGUGACCGGCCACAUGGGGACUGAGAUACGGCCCAGACUCCUACGGGAGGCAGCAGUGGGGAAUAUUGCACAAUGGGCGGAAGCCUGAUGCAGAAACGCCGCGUGCGGGAUGACGGCCUUCGGGUUGUAAACCGCUUUCGCCUGUGACGAAGCGGGAGUGACGGUAAUGGGUAAAGAAGCACCGGCUAACUACGUG
This 468-nucleotide ribosomal RNA is filed under the name uncultured bacterium. RNAcentral's name for it is "partial 16S ribosomal RNA". It matches the Rfam family "Bacterial small subunit ribosomal RNA", at positions 28 to 507 of the family's 1533-position model. The record is from RNAcentral.